RNAcentral lists this ribosomal RNA (303 nucleotides) under uncultured bacterium. RNAcentral describes it as "partial 16S ribosomal RNA". It matches the Rfam family "Bacterial small subunit ribosomal RNA", at positions 507 to 807 of the family's 1533-position model. The record is from RNAcentral.
AGCAGUAGCCGCGGUAAUACGUAGGGUGCAAGCGUUAAUCGGAAUUACUGGGCGUAAAGCGUGCGUAGGCGGCUUCUUAAGUCGGAUGUGAAAUCCCUGAGCUUAACUUAGGAAUUGCAUUCGAUACUGGGAAGCUAGAGUAUGGGAGAGGAUGGUAGAAUUCCAGGUGUAGCGGUGAAAUGCGUAGAGAUCUGGAGGAAUACCGAUGGCGAAGGCAGCCAUCUGGCCUAAUACUGACGCUGAGGUACGAAAGCAUGGGGAGCAAACAGGAUUAGAUACCCGCGUAGUCCCUGUCUCUUAUAC